This 500-nucleotide ribosomal RNA is filed under the name uncultured bacterium. RNAcentral describes it as "partial 16S ribosomal RNA". It matches the Rfam family "Bacterial small subunit ribosomal RNA", at positions 30 to 523 of the family's 1533-position model. The record is from RNAcentral.
AUUGAACGCUGGCGGCAUGCUUUACACAUGCAAGUCGAACGGUAACAGGGUGCUUGCACCGCCGACGAGUGGCGAACGGGUGAGUAAUGCGUCGGAACGUGCCGAGUAGUGGGGGAUAACGCAGCGAAAGUUGUGCUAAUACCGCAUACGUACUGAGGUAGAAAGUGGGGGACCUUCGGGCCUCACGCUAUUCGAGCAGCCGACGUCUGAUUAGCUAGUAGGUGAGGUAAAGGCUAACCUAGGCGACGACCAGUAGCGGGUCUGAGAGGAUGAUCCGCCACACUGGGACUGAGACACGGCCCAGACUCCUACGGGAGGCAGCAGUGGGGAAUUUUGGACAAUGGGCGAAAGCCUGAUCCAGCCAUGCCGCGUGUCUGAAGAAGGCCUUCGGGUUGUAAAGGACUUUUGUCAGGGAGGAAAUCCCUAGUGCUAAUAACACUGGGGGAUGACAGUACCUGAAGAAUAAGCACCGGCUAACUACGUGCCAGCCGCCGCCGUAA